RNAcentral lists this ribosomal RNA (363 nucleotides) under uncultured bacterium. RNAcentral's name for it is "partial 16S ribosomal RNA". It matches the Rfam family "Bacterial small subunit ribosomal RNA", at positions 338 to 693 of the family's 1533-position model. The record is from RNAcentral.
CCUACGGGUGGCAGCAGUGGGGAAUAUUGCGCAAUGGGCGAAAGCCUGACGCAGCGACGCCGCGUGAGGGAUGAGGGUCUUCGGAUCGUAAACCUCUGUCAGCAGGGAAGAACGGUCACUGUGCUAAUCAGCAGUGAAUUGACGGUACCUGCAAAGGAAGCACCGGCUAACUCCGUGCCAGCAGCCGCGGUAAUACGGGGGGUGCGAGCGUUAAUCGGAAUUACUGGGCGUAAAGCGCUCGUAGGCGGUAUGUCAAGGCAAGGGUGAAAUCCCCGCGCUCAACGUGGGAACUGCCUUUGAAACUGGCAAGGUGGAGGGUGUGAGAGGAUAGUGGAAAUGCAGGUGGAGGAGGGGAAUCCGUAG